This 492-nucleotide ribosomal RNA is filed under the name uncultured bacterium. Its description in RNAcentral is "partial 16S ribosomal RNA". It matches the Rfam family "Bacterial small subunit ribosomal RNA", at positions 29 to 507 of the family's 1533-position model. The record is from RNAcentral.
AGUGAACGCUGGCGGUAGGCCUAACACAUGCAAGUCGAACGGCAGCACAGUAAUCGCUUGCUCUUCCGGGUGGCGAGUGGCGGACGGGUGAGGAAUACAUCGGAAUCUCCUUUUUCGUGGGGGAUAACGUAGGGAAACUUACGCUAAUACCGCAUACGACCUACGGGUGAAAGCAGGGGAUCUUCGGACCUUGCGCGAUGAAAUGAGCCGAUGUCGGAUUAGCUAGUUGGCGGGGUAAAGGCCCACCAAGGCGACGAUCCGUAGCUGGUCUGAGAGGAUGAUCAGCCACACUGGAACUGAGACACGGUCCAGACUCCUACGGGAGGCAGCAGUGGGGAAUAUUGGACAAUGGGCGCAAGCCUGAUCCAGCCAUACCGCGUGGGUGAAGAAGGCCUUCGGGUUGUAAAGCCCUUUUGGUGGGAAAGAAAAGCAGCAGGUUAAUACCCCGCUGUUCUGACGGUACCCAAAGAAUAAGCACCGGCUAACUUCGUG